AUAGUUUUACAAGGAUUCUGUGUUUGAACAGUUUUUCAGUGCGACGAAUGAGAAUGCAGUCUACAAGUGAACGAGCGAUCACAACAACAACAAAGAUCAAUCUGUGAUAUCUUCUCUGUGAUGUCAUUCUUAUAGUAGCUGUGGUUCAAUGUUCAGAUGUGCAUGAAGAGAAUUUACCUGUAACACCUUGGAUUACCUGUGCCGU
Molecule: long non-coding RNA, 205 nt
Organism: Haliotis rufescens (red abalone)
Lineage: Eukaryota; Metazoa; Mollusca; Gastropoda; Lepetellida; Haliotidae
Exons: 3
Source: RefSeq, a predicted model, not a curated record